GACGAACGCUGGCGGCGUGCCUAAUACAUGCAAGUAGAACGCUGAAGCGAGGAGCUUGCUCUUCUUGGAUGAGUUGCGAACGGGUGAGUAACGCGUAGGUAACCUGCCUUGUAGCGGGGGAUAACUAUUGGAAACGAUAGCUAAUACCGCAUAACAAUGGAUGACACAUGUCAUUUAUUUGAAAGGGGCAAUUGCUCCACUACAAGAUGGACCUGCGUUGUAUUAGCUAGUAGGUGAGGUAAUGGCUCACCUAGGCGACGAUACAUAGCCGACCUGAGAGGGUGGUCGGCCGCCCUGGGAGUGAGACACGGCCCAGACUCCUACGGGAGGCAGCAGGAGGGAAUCUUCGGCAAGGGGGGCAACCCUGACCGAGCAACGCCGAGUGAGUGAAGAAGGGUUUCGGAUCGUAAAGCUCGGUUGUAAGUCAAGAACGGGUGUGAGAGUGGAAAGUUCACACUGUGACGGUAGCUGACCAGAAAGGGACGGCUAACUACGUG
RNAcentral lists this ribosomal RNA (497 nucleotides) under uncultured bacterium. RNAcentral describes it as "partial 16S ribosomal RNA". It matches the Rfam family "Bacterial small subunit ribosomal RNA", at positions 28 to 507 of the family's 1533-position model. The record is from RNAcentral.